Molecule: ribosomal RNA, 449 nt
Filed under: uncultured bacterium
Lineage: Bacteria
Description: partial 16S ribosomal RNA
Rfam family: Bacterial small subunit ribosomal RNA
Source: RNAcentral
AACGAACGCUGGCGGCAUGCCUAACACAUGCAAGUCGAACGAGAUCUUCGGGUCUAGUGGCGCACGGGUGCGUAACGCGUGGGAAUCUGCCCUUUGGUUCGGAAUAACAGUUGGAAACGACUGCUGAUACCGGAUGAUGACGAAAGUCCAAAGAUUUAUCGCCAGAGGAUGAGCCCGCGUAGGAUUAGCUAGUUGGUGUGGUAAAGGCGCACCAAGGCGACGAUCCUCAGCUGGUCUGAGAGGAUGAUCAGCCACACUGGGACUGAGACACGGCCCAGACUCCUACGGGAGGCAGCAGUGGGGAAUAUUGGACAAUGGGCGAAAGCCUGAUCCAGCAAUGCCGCGUGAGUGAUGAAGGCCUUAGGGUUGCAAAGCUCUUUUACCCGGGAUGAUAAUGACAGUACCGGGAGAAUAAGCUCCGGCUAACUCCGUGCCAGCCGCCGCGGUAA